GAUGAACGCUAGCUACAGGCUUAACACAUGCAAGUCGAGGGGAAACGACAUCGAAAGCUUGCUUUUGAUGGGCGUCGACCGGCGCACGGGUGAGUAACGCGUAUCCAACCUGCCCACCACUUGGGGAUAACCUUGCGAAAGUAAGACUAAUACCCAAUGACGUCUCGAGAAGACAUCUGAAAGAGAUUAAAGAUUUAUCGGUGAUGGAUGGGGAUGGGUCUGAUUAGCUUGUUGGCGGGGUAAUGGCCCACCAAGGGCACGAUCAGUAGGGGUUCUGAGAGGAAGGUCCCCCACAUUGGAACUGAGACACGGUCCAAACUCCUACGGGAGGCAGCAGUGAGGAAUAUUGGUCAAUGGGCGAGAGCCUGAACCAGCCAAGUAGCGUGCAGGAUGACGGCCCUAUGGGUUGUAAACUGCUUUUAUAAGGGAAUAAAGUGAGUCUCGUGAGACUUUUUGCAUGUACCUUAUGAAUAAGGACCGGCUAAUUCCGUGCCAGCAGCCGCAGUAA
This 508-nucleotide ribosomal RNA is filed under the name uncultured bacterium. RNAcentral describes it as "partial 16S ribosomal RNA". It matches the Rfam family "Bacterial small subunit ribosomal RNA", at positions 28 to 523 of the family's 1533-position model. The record is from RNAcentral.